This 159-nucleotide unclassified non-coding RNA is filed under the name uncultured Ascomycota. RNAcentral describes it as "sequence contains ITS2". Lineage: Eukaryota; Fungi; Ascomycota. The record is from RNAcentral.
UCACCCCUCAAGCCUAGCUUGGUGUUGGACCUAACCGUGCUUUGGUUAUGGUUGGUCUCAAAAAUAGUGACGGCGUCCUAGAAGGAACCGGUACGAGGAGCUUGUAACCAAGCACGUACACGGCAGGAUUCUAUGGCGGCGGUCUUUAUUAUUAUCAAG